AAGAGACAGCAGUAGCCGCGGGAAAACAGAGGGUGCGAGCGUUAAUCGGAUUUACUGGGCGUAAAGCGUGCGUAGGCGGCUUCUUAAGUCGGAUGUGAAAUCCCUGAGCUUAACUUAGGAAUUGCAUUCGAUACUGGGAAGCUAGAGUAUGGGAGAGGAUGGUAGAAUUCCAGGUGUAGCGGUGAAAUGCGUAGAGAUCUGGAGGAAUACCGAUGGCGAAGGCAGCCAUCUGGCCUAAUACUGACGCUGAGGUACGAAAGCAUGGGGAGCAAACAGGAUUAGAUACCCCUGUAGUCCCUGUCUCUUAUAC
This 310-nucleotide ribosomal RNA is filed under the name uncultured bacterium. RNAcentral's name for it is "partial 16S ribosomal RNA". It matches the Rfam family "Bacterial small subunit ribosomal RNA", at positions 503 to 807 of the family's 1533-position model. The record is from RNAcentral.